GACGAACGCUGGCGGCGUGCUUAACACAUGCAAGUCGAACGAUGAAGUUCCCUCGGGAAUGGAUUAGUGGCGAACGGGUGAGGAACACGUGAACAAUCUGCCCCUUACACGGGAAUAACUUCGGGAAACCGAAGCUAAUACCCGAUAUUGAAUUCGGUAGGCAUCUACUGAAUUUGAAAUGGUCCGCCGGUAAGGGAUGAGUUCGCGGCCUAUCAGCUUGUUGGUAAGGUAACGGCUCACCAAGGCGACGACGGGUAGCCGGCCUGGGAGGGCGACCGGCCACACUGGGACUGAGACACGGCCCAGACUCCUACGGGAGGCAGCAGUGGGGAAUAUUGCGCAAUGGACGAAAGUCUGACGCAGCAACGCCGCGUGAGGGAUGACGGCCUUCGGGUUGUAAACCUCUUUCAAUCGGGACGAAGCGAAAGUGACGGUACCGAUACAAGAAGCACCGGCUAACUAUGUGCCAGCCGCCGCAGUAA
This 482-nucleotide ribosomal RNA is filed under the name uncultured bacterium. RNAcentral describes it as "partial 16S ribosomal RNA". It matches the Rfam family "Bacterial small subunit ribosomal RNA", at positions 28 to 523 of the family's 1533-position model. The record is from RNAcentral.